ACGGAGGAUGCAAGCGUUAUCCGGAAUUAUUGGGCGUAAAGCGUACGUAGGCUGUUUGAUAAGUCUGUUGUCAAAGCGCGAGGCUCAACCUUGUAAAGGCAAUGGAAACUGUGAGACUAGAGAGAGAUAGGGGCAGGAGGAAUUCCAGGUGUAGCGGUGAAAUGCGUAGAUAUCUGGAAGAACACCAGUGGCGAAAGCGUCCUGCUGGAUCUCAACUGACGCUGAAGUACGAAAGCUAGGGGAGCGAAUGGGAUUAGAUACCCCAGUAGUCCUAGCCGUAAACGAUGGACACUAGGUGUUGGCCGUAUCGACCCGGUCAGUGCCGUAGCUAACGCGUUAAGUGUCCCGCCUGGGGAGUACGGUCGCAAGAUUG
Molecule: ribosomal RNA, 373 nt
Filed under: uncultured bacterium
Lineage: Bacteria
Description: bacterial SSU rRNA
Rfam family: Bacterial small subunit ribosomal RNA
Source: RNAcentral